RNAcentral lists this ribosomal RNA (441 nucleotides) under Neisseria mucosa. RNAcentral describes it as "bacterial SSU rRNA". It matches the Rfam family "Bacterial small subunit ribosomal RNA", at positions 30 to 465 of the family's 1533-position model. Lineage: Bacteria; Pseudomonadati; Pseudomonadota; Betaproteobacteria; Neisseriales; Neisseriaceae. The record is from RNAcentral.
AUUGAACGCUGGCGGCAUGCUUUACACAUGCAAGUCGGACGGCAGCACAGAGAAGCUUGCUUCUUGGGUGGCGAGUGGCGAACGGGUGAGUAACAUAUCGGAACGUACCGAGCAGUGGGGGAUAACUAAUCGAAAGAUUAGCUAAUACCGCAUAUAUUCUGAGGAAGAAAGCAGGGGACCAUUUGGCCUUGCGCUGUUUGAGCGGCCGAUAUCUGAUUAGCUAGUUGGUGGGGUAAAGGCCUACCAAGGCAACGAUCAGUAGCGGGUCUGAGAGGAUGAUCCGCCACACUGGGACUGAGACACGGCCCAGACUCCUACGGGAGGCAGCAGUGGGGAAUUUUGGACAAUGGGCGCAAGCCUGAUCCAGCCAUGCCGCGUGUCUGAAGAAGGCCUUCGGGUUGUAAAGGACUUUUGUCAGGAAAGAAAAAGGCGGGGUUAAUU